GCGGAAGGCUGGAUGGCCGCUUUGCGGGGCAACCCGCGGGGAGGAAAGUCCGGACUCCAGAAAGAAACGGUGCCGGGUAACGCCCGGGCGGGGCAACCCGACGGAAAGCGCCACAGAAAAUAAACCGCUGCGGCCCCCGGGCGGCAGUAAGGGUGAAACGGUGGGGUAAGAGCCCACCGCGCCGCUGGCAACAGGGGCGGCAUGGCAAGCCCCACCGGGAGCAAUGCCAAAUAGGGACCGCGUGCCGGGCAACCGGCGGAGCCUCUUUUGCUCCAGCAGGUCCGGGUUGGCAGCUGUAGCCUUGUCGGUAACGGCAGGGUCAGAGGAAUGGUCAUCCAGAAGGGGCAACCCUUUGGACAGAAUCCGGCUUACAGGCCUUCCGCACAU
Molecule: RNase P RNA, 387 nt
Filed under: Sulfitobacter sp. S190
Lineage: Bacteria; Pseudomonadati; Pseudomonadota; Alphaproteobacteria; Rhodobacterales; Roseobacteraceae
Description: RNase P RNA component class A
Rfam family: Bacterial RNase P class A
About the family: Ribonuclease P (RNase P) is a ubiquitous endoribonuclease, found in archaea, bacteria and eukarya as well as chloroplasts and mitochondria.
Source: RNAcentral